This 605-nucleotide ribosomal RNA is filed under the name Harpactocrates sp. n. Leonese. Its description in RNAcentral is "eukaryotic LSU rRNA". It matches the Rfam family "Eukaryotic large subunit ribosomal RNA", at positions 464 to 931 of the family's 3401-position model. The record is from RNAcentral. Lineage: Eukaryota; Metazoa; Arthropoda; Arachnida; Araneae; Dysderidae.
UGAGUCGGCCANGAGGACGGGCGCCGGCAGGUGGCCGGUGGCGUUGCUUCGGCUUCGCCGCCGGUUGUUAGCCAGCUCGUCCGUGGCGCGACACCCGACUGAGGUUGAAUAGUUCCCGUAUGGGAACUCGCCGUCCCCUUCCUUUCUGGGAGUGGGCGCUCUGGCAGGCGUAUUUCGGUGUUGCCACGUCACUCUUCGUAGUGGCCGGUGCUCCGUGAUCGCUGUUGGUUGGAAGCGUCCCGCGGGGGUGCAUGCGACUAGCGGCGAGUAGGUCGGUCACCCACCCGACCCGUCUUGAAACACGGACCAAGGAGUCUAACAUGUGCGCGAGUCACGGGGUCUUGAUUAGGCCCAGAGGCGCAAUGAAAGUGAAGGUCGACCUCGACGUCGGCUGUGUUGGGAUUUCUUGUCCUUCGGGGCGAGGAAGCACCAACGACCCGUCCUAUCCGAUUUAUCGGUUGGGCGGAGUCUGAGCGUACACGUUGGGACCCGAAAGAUGGUGAACUAUGCCUGGGCAGGACGAAGCCAGAGGAAACUCUGGUGGAGGUCCGUAGCGGUUCUGACGUGCAAAUCGAUCGUCAGACCCGGGUAUAGGGGCGAAAGAC